GACUGUUUAUCAAAAACACAGGUCUCUGCUAAACCGUAAGGUGAUGUAUAGGGGCUGACGCCUGCCCGGUGCUGGAAGGUUAAGAGGAGUGGUUAGCUUCUGCGAAGCUACGAAUCGAAGCCCCAGUAAACGGCGGCCGUAACUAUAACGGUCCUAAGGUAGCGAAAUUCCUUGUCGGGUAAGUUCCGACCCGCACGAAAGGCGUAACGAUUUGGGCACUGUCUCAACGAGAGACUCGGUGAAAUCAUAGUACCUGUGAAGAUGCAGGUUACCCGCGACAGGACGGAAAGACCCCGUGGAGCUUUACUGUAGCCUGAUAUUGAAAUUCGGCACAGCUUGUACAGGAUAGGUAGGAGCCCUG
This 361-nucleotide ribosomal RNA is filed under the name Staphylococcus aureus. Its description in RNAcentral is "partial 23S ribosomal RNA". It matches the Rfam family "Bacterial large subunit ribosomal RNA", at positions 1798 to 2158 of the family's 2925-position model. The record is from RNAcentral. Lineage: Bacteria; Bacillati; Bacillota; Bacilli; Caryophanales; Staphylococcaceae.